This 221-nucleotide ribosomal RNA is filed under the name uncultured bacterium. RNAcentral describes it as "partial 16S ribosomal RNA". It matches the Rfam family "Bacterial small subunit ribosomal RNA", at positions 114 to 334 of the family's 1533-position model. The record is from RNAcentral.
CGCGUAAAGAACUUGCCUCACAGAUAGGGACAACAUUUGGAAACGAAUGCUAAUACCUGAUAUUAUGAUUUUAGGGCAUCCUAGAAUUAUGAAAGCUAUAUGCGCUGUGAGAGAGCUUUGCGUCCCAUUAGCUAGUUGGAGAGGUAACGGCUCACCAAGGCGAUGAUGGGUAGCCGGCCUGAGAGGGUGAUCGGCCACAAGGGGACUGAGACACGGCCCUU